Long non-coding RNA from Notolabrus celidotus (New Zealand spotty), 594 nucleotides. RefSeq lists it as uncharacterized. The record is from RefSeq and is a predicted model, not a curated record. NCBI's taxonomy places the organism in Eukaryota, Metazoa, Chordata, Actinopteri, Labriformes, Labridae. The transcript has 2 exons.
UCAGAAAAUACAAAAGAAGUGUCAGCCAACGUCAACGAGCAUCAUUGUUUUAUGUUGUUGCUGACACCCUGCCUUACCCUCACUUCUGACAGCUUCUUCUUGAUGGAGGCAGAGUCUCCUGAUGUAUCCGACCAGUGCUGGAGCUCCUCCCCGGCAGUCAUCAGCCAAUCAGUGAGCUCCCUGACAGCCUCCAGGUAUUCUUGAUGCUCCAGCACUACAGCCUGUGCAAGACGUACUCUCUCCUGAAGACACAAAAACUGGACAGUGCCACCUGGUGGUCCUCCAGGUCGGCCAGCAGAGCUCUGAGUCUCUCCAGCUGGGAAGCCUUUUCUCUGGGGCCUGGCUGAGGGGUGAGAGGGGCACACACCUCUCGCUCUACAACCUCCAUCCAACACCGCAGCUGGGCAGCACUCUCCAGGUAUCCUCCCCACUGUGACACCGUCCACUCCAAACGACUGGAGGGAGGAGAGAAGAUCUGUGUUAAAUCUGUCAUUACAACAUUGAGACAUUUUAAAUGAAUACAAAUUUUAAACCAAAUGGUGUUGAGUAUCAAAAAUGUUUCAGAUGUGUUUUAAAACUUGAAAUAAACGUUAU